GGUGAACGCUGGCGGCGUGCUUAACACAUGCAAGUCGAACGGGAUCCAUCAGGCUUUGCUUGGUGGUGAGAGUGGCGAACGGGUGAGUAAUGCGUGACCGACCUGCCCCAUACACCGGAAUAGCUCCUGGAAACGGGUGGUAAUGCCGGAUGCUCCAGUUGAUCGCAUGGUCUUCUGGGAAAGCUUUCGCGGUAUGGGAUGGGGUCGCGUCCUAUCAGCUUGACGGCGGGGUAACGGCCCACCGUGGCUUCGACGGGUAGCCGGCCUGAGAGGGCGACCGGCCACAUUGGGACUGAGAUACGGCCCAGACUCCUACGGGAGGCAGCAGUGGGGAAUAUUGCACAAUGGGCGCAAGCCUGAUGCAGCGACGCCGCGUGAGGGAUGGAGGCCUUCGGGUUGUAAACCUCUUUUAUCGGGGAGCAAGCGAGAGUGAGU
Molecule: ribosomal RNA, 435 nt
Filed under: uncultured bacterium
Lineage: Bacteria
Description: bacterial SSU rRNA
Rfam family: Bacterial small subunit ribosomal RNA
Source: RNAcentral